This is a long non-coding RNA of Oncorhynchus tshawytscha (Chinook salmon), 1158 nucleotides long. The record is from Ensembl. Lineage: Eukaryota; Metazoa; Chordata; Actinopteri; Salmoniformes; Salmonidae.
GGGUACAGGGCUAGAUGAAGGUGGUAGGGUUGAGGGUUAGGACUAGAUGAAGGUGGUAGGGUGCAGGGUUAGGGCUAGAUGAAGGUGGUAGGGUACAGGGUUAGGGCUAGAUGAAGGUGGUAGGGUACAGGGUUAGGGCUAGAUGAAGGUGGUAGGGUGCAGGGUUAGGACUAGAUGAAGGUGGUAGGGUGCAGGGUUAGGGCUAGAUGAAGGUGGUAGGGUACAGGGUUAGGGCUAGAUGAAGGUGGUAGGGUACAAGGUUAGGGCUAGAUGAAGGUGGUAGGGUACAGGGUUAGGGCUAGAUGAAGGUGGUAGGGUACAGGGCUAGAUGAAGAUGGUAGGGUACAGGGUUAGGGCUGUGGGGGAUAUGAUGAGUUAAAAGCCUCUACACCCAAGAAUCCAUGACAGAUUAGCUCAUGUACUUAACGUUGAUCAAUAAAGUUGAUAGUGUUGAAAUGAACCUUGUAAUGGAUGGGCGUGAGCUGGCACUAACAGAUAUCUGUGUGCUACAAUGACACGAUUCAGGGACACUAGGAAAUGCUUAUUGUAAAAACCAAUCAAUGAAAACUGAAACCUUUUCAUAUGGAUAGCUGUUCCCUAGCCCAAAUCAUGAUGUCACUGCACUAAGUUUGGACUUUGCACUUGAAGCUUUAUCUUUUAUCUUUGAGUUGUACUUGAAGUUCUGUUGAGUCAAGACUCACCCACUGACAUGUCUGUCUGUCUGUCUGCCUGUCCGUCUGCCUGUCUGCCUGUCCGUCUGUAUUUCUAGAAAGCCUGGAGGAGAUUUUUCUUUAAUGAAUGAGGGAAGGGACCGUUCUCUCCAGAGGAGUUGCUUGGAUGGACAAGACGGAGACAUACAGGUGAUUGGAUGGAUUAGAGAAAGAGAGCUUCUGAUUGGAGAAAGAGAUUCUGACCUCCCGCCUUCAGUAACAAGGAUUCAUCCUGUUGUUGUAUUCUGAACUAGCAGGGAAUCUCUGUUACUGGGGGUGAGGGUACAGAGAGCUCACACAAACACAUUCCCACACACGAAGACGCACACCCAGACACACGUUUGUUAUUUUACUGCUUACACUUCUCCUGUACUGUGCUAUGUAUGUACUGUAUCUAAUUUGAUUAAAGAUGUGAGAAGAUGUUCUUGACUUCUGGGGUCUGUAUUAC